This is a long non-coding RNA of Nerophis ophidion (straightnose pipefish), 190 nucleotides long. RefSeq lists it as uncharacterized. NCBI's taxonomy places the organism in Eukaryota, Metazoa, Chordata, Actinopteri, Syngnathiformes, Syngnathidae. The record is from RefSeq and is a predicted model, not a curated record. The transcript has 3 exons.
ACUCUCUGAAAGUUUACAGUGAAACUUCGAUGUCAAUUUUUUAAUUGGCAGUGUGCGUCAAUACAGGGAGCGCCGUAAGUGGCUGAUCCGUUGGCGGUCUCAUCUUGUCCUCCCCUGUAACGACAAUGUGAGGAACUUGCACGGCUGCAGUUUUUGAGACCCCAAGAUGCAGGAACGAACAGACGAACAG